This 72-nucleotide transfer RNA is filed under the name Deltaproteobacteria bacterium. Its description in RNAcentral is "tRNA-Val". It matches the Rfam family "tRNA". From Rfam's summary of the family: Transfer RNA (tRNA) molecules are approximately 80 nucleotides in length. Their secondary structure includes four short double-helical elements and three loops (D, anti-codon, and T loops). The record is from RNAcentral. Lineage: Bacteria; Pseudomonadati; Myxococcota; Myxococcia.
AGGCGCGUAGCUCAGUGGUAGAGCACUUGCUCGACACGCAAGGGGUCAGCGGUUCAAUCCCGCUCGCGCCUA